Molecule: ribosomal RNA, 549 nt
Filed under: uncultured bacterium
Lineage: Bacteria
Description: bacterial SSU rRNA
Rfam family: Bacterial small subunit ribosomal RNA
Source: RNAcentral
UGGGGAAUAUUGCACAAUGGGGGAAACCCUGAUGCAGCCAUGCCGCGUGUGUGAAGAAGGCCUUCGGGUUGUAAAGCACUUUCAGUAGGGAGGAAAGGUAGCAGCUUAAUACGCUGUUGCUGUGACGUUACCUACAGAAGAAGGACCGGUUAACUCCGUGCCAGCAGCCGCGGUAAUACGGAGGGUCCGAGCGUUAAUCGGAAUUACUGGGCGUAAAGCGUGCGCAGGCGGUUUGUUAAGCGAGAUGUGAAAGCCCCGGGCUCAACCUGGGAAUUGCAUUUCGAACUGGCGAACUAGAGUCUUGUAGAGGGGGGUAGAAUUCCAGGUGUAGCGGUGAAAUGCGUAGAGAUCUGGAGGAAUACCGGUGGCGAAGGCGGCCCCCUGGACAAAGACUGACGCUCAGGCACGAAAGCGUGGGGAGCAAACAGGAUUAGAUACCCUGGUAGUCCACGCCGUAAACGAUGUCUACUCGGAGUUUGGUGUCUUGAACACUGGGCUCUCAAGCUAACGCAUUAAGUAGACCGCCUGGGGAGUACGGCCGCAAGGUUA